RNAcentral lists this ribosomal RNA (497 nucleotides) under uncultured bacterium. RNAcentral describes it as "partial 16S ribosomal RNA". It matches the Rfam family "Bacterial small subunit ribosomal RNA", at positions 28 to 507 of the family's 1533-position model. The record is from RNAcentral.
GAUGAACGCUGGCGGCGUGCCUAAUACAUGCAAGUCGAGCGAACAGACGAGGAGCUUGCUCCUCUGACGUUAGCGGCGGACGGGUGAGUAACACGUGGAUAACCUACCUAUAAGACUGGGAUAACUUCGGGAAACCGGAGCUAAUACCGGAUAAUAUAUUGAACCGCAUGGUUCAAUAGUGAAAGACGGUUUUGCUGUCACUUAUAGAUGGAUCCGCGCCGCAUUAGCUAGUUGGUAAGGUAACGGCUUACCAAGGCAACGAUGCGUAGCCGACCUGAGAGGGUGAUCGGCCACACGGGACCUGAGACACGGUCCAGACUCCUACGGGAGGCAGCAGUAGGGAAUCUUCCGCAAUGGGCGAAAGCCUGACGGAGCAACGCCGCGUGAGUGAUGAAGGUCUUAGGAUCGUAAAACUCUGUUAUUAGGGAAGAACAAAUGUGUAAGUAACUAUGCACGUCUUGACGGUACCUAAUCAGAAAGCCACGGCUAACUACGUG